UGUGCAGGCGGUUUGGUAAGUCGGACGUUAAAGCUCCCGGCUCAACUGGGAGAGGCCGUUCGAAACUGCCAGACUCGAGGGUAGGAGAGGGAGGUGGAAUUUCAGGUGUAGCGGUGAAAUGCGUAGAUAUCUGAAGGAACACCAGUGGCGAAGGCGGCCUCCUGGCCUAUCCCUGACGCUAAGACACGAAAGCUAGGGGAGCAAACG
Molecule: ribosomal RNA, 207 nt
Filed under: uncultured bacterium
Lineage: Bacteria
Description: partial 16S ribosomal RNA
Rfam family: Bacterial small subunit ribosomal RNA
Source: RNAcentral